UACGUAGGGUGCGAGCGUUGUCCGGAAUUAUUGGGCGUAAAGCGCACGUAGGCGGCAUUGCAAGUCGGAUGUGAAAUCCCUCGGCUUAACCAAGGAAGUGCAUCCGAAACUGCAGUGCUUGAGUACUUAAGAGGAUCGCGGAAUUCCCGGUGUAGAGGUGAAAUUCGUAGAUAUCGGGAGGAACACCGGUGGCGAAGGCGGCGAUCUGGGAAGAUACUGACGCUGAGGUGCGAAAGCGUGGGGAGCAAACAGG
This 253-nucleotide ribosomal RNA is filed under the name uncultured bacterium. RNAcentral's name for it is "partial 16S ribosomal RNA". It matches the Rfam family "Bacterial small subunit ribosomal RNA", at positions 524 to 776 of the family's 1533-position model. The record is from RNAcentral.